RNAcentral lists this ribosomal RNA (261 nucleotides) under uncultured archaeon. RNAcentral's name for it is "partial 16S ribosomal RNA". It matches the Rfam family "Archaeal small subunit ribosomal RNA", at positions 748 to 1009 of the family's 1478-position model. The record is from RNAcentral.
UAGCCGUAAACGAUACUCGCUAGGUGUCGGCCACGGUGCGACCGUUGUCGGUGCCGUAGGGAAGCCGUGAAGCGAGCCACCUGGGAAGUACGGCCGCAAGGCUGAAACUUAAAGGAAUUGGCGGGGGAGCACCACAACGGGUGGAGCUUGCGGUUUAAUUGGAUUCAACGCCGGAAAUCUUACCGGGACCGACAGCAACAUGAAGGCCAGGCUGAAGACUUUGCCGGAUUAGCUGAGAGGUGGUGCAUGGCGUAGACGUCU